RNAcentral lists this ribosomal RNA (468 nucleotides) under uncultured bacterium. Its description in RNAcentral is "partial 16S ribosomal RNA". It matches the Rfam family "Bacterial small subunit ribosomal RNA", at positions 28 to 507 of the family's 1533-position model. The record is from RNAcentral.
GAUGAACGCUGGCGGCGUGCUUAACACAUGCAAGUCGAACGGAAAGGCCCUGCUUUUGUGGGUUUCUCGAUUGGCGAACGGGUGAGUAACACGUGUGUAACCUCCCCUUGACUUUGUGAUAACUUUAGGAAACUGCGGCUAAUACCCGAUAUGACCUCCUGCUCCACGUUGUUGGAUGGUGAGUUUCGGCUGUUGUGUAUGUACUCGCUGCUUAUCAGCUUCUUUGUGUGGUAGUUGCUUACCAAGGCUGUGACGGCUAGGCGGCCUGGGAGGGUUACCGGCCACAAUGGGACUGAGAUACGGCGCAGACUCGUACGGGAGGCAGCAGUGGAGAAUAUUGCACAGUGGGCGGAAGCGUGAUGCAGAAGCGCCGCGUGCGGGAUGACGGCCUUCGGGUUAUAAACCGCUUUCGAAGGUAACGAAGCGUGAGUGACGGUAAUGGGUAAAAAAGCAACGGCUAACUACGUG